This 946-nucleotide ribosomal RNA is filed under the name Hippodamia notata. RNAcentral describes it as "SSU rRNA". It matches the Rfam family "Eukaryotic small subunit ribosomal RNA", at positions 416 to 1328 of the family's 1831-position model. The record is from RNAcentral. Lineage: Eukaryota; Metazoa; Arthropoda; Insecta; Coleoptera; Coccinellidae.
CCAAGGAAGGCAGCAGGCGCGCAAAUUACCCACUCCCAGCUCGGGGAGGUAGUGACCAAAAAUAACGAUACGGGACUCAUCCGAGGCCCCGUAAUCGGAAUGAGUACACUCUAAACCCUUUAACGAGGAUCCAUUGGAGGGCAAGUCUGGUGCCAGCAGCCGCGGUAAUUCCAGCUCCAAUAGCGUAUAUUAAAGUUGUUGCGGUUAAAAAGCUCGUAGUCGAAUUUGUGUCUCGCGCCGUCCGGUUCAUCGUUCGCGGUGUCAACUGGCGUGCCGCGAGACGUCCUGCCGGCGGAUCGUUCGCAAGAACGGUCCAACUGACCCCGCCGCGGUGCUCUUCAUUGAGUGUCGAGGUGGGCCGGCACGUUUACUUUGAACAAACUAAGGUGCUUAAAGCAGGCUGAAAUUUUGCCAGAAUAUUUUAUGCAUGGAAUAAUGAAACAGGACCUCGAUUCUAUUUUGUUGGUUUUCGGAACCUCGAGGUAAUGAUUAACAGGAACGGAUGGGGGCAUUCGUAUUGCGACGUUAGAGGUGAAAUUCUUGGAUCGUCGCAAGACGGACAGAAGCGAAAGCAUUUGCCAAAAACGUUUUCAUUGAUCAAGAACGAAAGUUAGAGGUUCGAAGGCGAUCAGAUACCGCCCUAGUUCUAACCAUAAACUAUGCCAGCUAGCGAUCCGCCGACGUUCCUCCGAUGACUCGGCGGGCAGCUUCCGGGAAACCAAAGCUUUUGGGUUCCGGGGGAAGUAUGGUUGCAAAGCUGAAACUUAAAGGAAUUGACGGAAGGGCACCACCAGGAGUGGAGCCUGCGGCUUAAUUUGACUCAACACGGGAAACCUCACCAGGCCCGGACACCGGAAGGAUUGACAGAUUGAGAGCUCUUUCUUGAUUCGGUGGGUGGUGGUGCAUGGCCGUCUUAAUUGGUGGAGCGAUUGUCUGGUUAUUCCGA